RNAcentral lists this ribosomal RNA (450 nucleotides) under uncultured bacterium. RNAcentral's name for it is "partial 16S ribosomal RNA". It matches the Rfam family "Bacterial small subunit ribosomal RNA", at positions 354 to 796 of the family's 1533-position model. The record is from RNAcentral.
GUGGGGAAUAUUCCGCAAUGGACGAAAGUCUGACGGAGCAACGCCGCGUGAGUGAUGAAGGUUUUCGGACUGUAAAGCUCUGUUGUUUAGGACGAAAGUGCCUGUUGCAAAUAGUUACAGGUAUUGACGGUACUGAACGAGGAAGCCACGGCUAACUACGUGCCAGCAGCCGCGGUAAUACGUAGGUGGCAAGCGUUGUCCGGAAUUAUUGGGCGUAAAGAGCAUGUAGGCGGGAAUCUAAGUCUGUUGUGAAAAUGCGGGGCUCAACCCCGUAUUGCGAUGGAAACUGGGUUUCUUGAGUGCAGGAGAGGAAAGGGGAAUUCCCAGUGUAGCGGUGAAAUGCGUAGAUAUUGGGAGGAACACCAGUGGCGAAGGCGCCUUUCUGGACUGUGUCUGACGCUGAGAUGCGAAAGCUAGGGCAGCGAACGGGAUUAGAUACCCCGGUAGUCC